CUGGAGAUCAAAAUAACAGCCACAAAUUUCUGGUCCUGUGAACCUGACCUUUAGACCAGUACUGUAUUUCUGACCCAGACCUGCCCAGAACCCAGCAAAAUAAGGUUAUACUUUCUGCCUGGUCUUUCAGAAUAAUAAUUAACAGUAGUGCUCUGAUCUCUUUGAACUAUUUUAAUGAGGAAAUGCCAAAGUAGGUGUGAACUAUGGAAUCUCUGAACGGGAGCACCUGGCAAAGGUCACCUUUAAAUUGAAGCACAAACCUAUUCCUUUGGGUUAAGUUGGUGCUUUGGUCUUACUGCAGAAGUUGGCACACCUGGGCUGCUGGCCGUGUUACCCAGGACUCACCUCCUUGCGAUUCUUUCUGGUGAGGCUCUGCCAUGCUUGAACCAGGGCAUCCUUUCUCUUGGAUGUCUACCAAUGGGAAAGCAAGUGCUCACAGAGGAAGCCUGGCUGAAGCAGCAAUGAGUUUUCUGAUGUGCCCUGAAUCAAUUGGUUUCAGCAUUCUCUCAGUAAUUUGGACACCUCGGUGCUGUACAGAAGGCCUGUGAUGUAAUACACCUCAAAUUUGUUAUACUUCACUGGCUCUGCUUCUGGGGAACAGAUAAAAGAACGAGGCAAACCUUGAUGUGAGGAUAUAUCCAAAACAUGGAACUUCGACUCUUGGUGUGAUUUAUAACAGGUCACAGGAGGACCUGCAGUUCAGGUACAGCUGACAUGUCAGAGCCUACAGUUACUUUAGGAAGCACAAAUUCAUCUGAAAUGCUGUGUCAGAGCAUCCUGCUGAGUUCCCUCUCCUGCACAGAAGCUCUACAACAGGCGCACUGCGUUGGAAGCGCCUGUCUCGGGAAAGCAGCCACUGCUACACUAACAUCUCACGUAGUGCUCUGCACUCUUGUUUUAGGAGGAACUGCAUUUGAUUCUGUAAAACAAACGGUCUCCUAAGAGCAUAUUCUGCUGGCAUUGAAGCACAGACAGCAUUCUCCUGUCUGCACUGCCAGGAUCACUCUGCUUGCAGCACACAGAGCCGGUAGAGCCAGGGAAGGAGCCUGGCUGAGCGAGGUGCACCAAGGCCAAAUGCCAUCAGGGCAGAGUGGAGCUGGGGGUCCAUUCCUUGUGCUGUUGGUGUGAAUAGGGCUGCAUGGCCGCUGCUCCCUCCGCUCCAAUAAUAAAGCCUGUUAUGGGAAGGCAGGGAGGGAUCUUUUGGCCAGAUCAGAAGCAUCCACUUUGUCAAACAGCCGCAUGCUAGCUGGCUUAAUGGAAAUUAGCUGUGGCACUGCAGGACAGGAGAAGAUGCCUUUUCAUGAAUAAAUGAAAUGCAUGAGCGAUGCUUCCUUAAAAAAAAGGAUAAAAAUAGAAUCUGAAAUGUGAAGUCUGCAGCAUGCAGGCACGGGAGGUGUGUCCUGACAAAGCUAACAGAGUGCAGUUCUGACAUGGACUGCUUGCACAGGCUUGCCUGGGAGGGAGGGGGUUAGUUCAUGGGUGGGGGAGGGAUCCUGAAUUAACUGAGCAGUCAGUAACCAGAGCUAAUAAGGACACCUUUACCAUCCGUGUGGAGGGUUAUUUCAGUAUGCUGUAUUUGCUUUAGAAGGCACUCGAGGAAUUUUGCAAAUUACAAUGGUCUGUUCAAACUAUUUCUGCCAUUUAAAGAAGAUGUAAAUAAGUCAAAUGACCGUUACAUGCCAUGAUUCUAUGAUUACUUCCUCUGCUUUCUCCCAGAUCUCAGGUCUGGAAGAUGCAGCAGACAUUACGGACUUAGCGAUUGCUCUUUUUUCAGGGGCUCCCCCAGCCCAGUGCAGCCAAACUCAGGACGCUGUGGAGAUGGGGACCCCAGCAGGGGUCAUGGUGAGGUGAGGCAUCAUGCAGCCCAGGGGUGGCCCAGCCCCACUGCCCUGCCAGCUGCUCACCUCCCCUCUACCCACCAGCACAGGCACAGCAGGCUGCCAGCUUCCCACUGCUGUUUCCCCUCCCCAGGCACAGCAGACACACUUCUUCCAUUUUCUUUCUCCACUGCACAUGAUUCAGAGGUCUGUUAUUUCCUUGUUCUCUCCUCUGGCACCCCAGAUGGUUCAGGGAUGGCAAGUAAGCAACACAGAUGCAGGGAAGGCAAGUAAAUACCACAAUUUAAAGAAGUACUUUAAACUGAGAAUGUCCAGAAAUGUAUUCAAGGAAUUGAUCUGUUUUAAAGGCGAAGCAUUGUAAGAACUCCUAGUUUGCAAUAAGUCUCACUGACUCUGCACUUAGCAGGAACAAUUUCCUUCCCUUCCUGCGAGCAAUGUGAUCUGAGCUGCCCUGAAUGGGAAAUCAGUUAGGCUGACAUCUAAAACCUCUUUCUUUGGGGAAAAUGCAGUCUAGGCAGAAUCACAGAAUCUCAACAUCAUUUGAGUUGGAAGGGGCCUUUCAAGGCCCUCUGGUCCCACUCCCUCAGUGCAGAGGGACGCCACAGUUCCAUCAGUGCUCAGAGCCCAUCCCCUGACCUUGGCUGUCUGCAGGGAUGGGGCAGCCCCACCCCUUUGGGGAGCCUUUGCAGUGCCCCACUUCCCUUAGCAUAAAGAACUUUUUCCUUGUAUCUAGUCUAAAUGCAGGCUCCCACCUUAAAGCCAGGACUCGGCAAAAGCUCCAGGACAUUACAGGUGCCCCUAAGUCUCAAAAUUCCCACUGGUAUUCCACUGAAACUCCUGUAGGUGCACAGAACUCUGUUGUCUCCCUCUAGCCUGUGUUGCUCAGCCAAGUGUGACAUUACAGGAGCUCAGGCUUUGUGCCCACACCCAAAUUCCAGGUAAGAGCUCAGCCCUGAGCACAGGAUGUGCUGUUUCCAACCCGCUUCACCGAGCUGUGAACAUCAAAUACUGCUGAUGCUGAAAGUAGAAUUUAGUUGUAAAGCUGACCUCAACUUCAUGGAAGAAAAAUCUACUGGAGAAUACUACAUGCUGAUAACAUCAGUGCAGCUCUGGCCUCACUGCCCUCCCAGACACACUGCUGGAGGCUGGGAUGUGCUCAUGUGUUACUGUCCUGGCCCAUCUCAGGCUGCAGGCCCAGCAGUGCAGGGGACAGCUCUGGCUGCUGCAGCUCUGCUCCCUCUGGCUCUCACGCAGAGACCAAAGACCUGUUGGGUGUAUUUCUGGGAAAGCAUUGUCCAGCUCCUCUCACUGCAGCCCAACCCCGGCACCUAUAAUCUCCCUCACCUCUACUCCCCCACCAAGCUGAGACCAAACAGCAGAGCAAUACUGUUAUUACAAGAAGCAAUUACAUUCACUCCUCUGAAGUUCCUCAUCGCUUGUCUCCCAGCACACACUGAUGCUGAGAAGAUAUCAAGCUCUCAGAAUAUUCUUUUUAACUUUCAAAGCUUUCAAUCUUUAAAUACAUCAUUGUCUUUAUCUCCUAAGACCUCUCGGUGUGAUAGUCUUGGUUUUCAAAGCGAGACAUGAGGAAUUCCUGGGCAGGGCCAAUUACCUAACUGCAUCUUCCCCACUCUUUUCAAUAGUUGAUAGCAAAAGCAGCUUUAUCCACAGAGCCAUGCUGUUACUGUGCUGUACUGCACACAACAAAGAUACUGGAGGUAAUUCAGAGAGAUAAUACAAAAAUAUAGAAUGCUGGCAAUCUGGACAAGUCUUUUUUGAGUACAUAAGGAAAAGAAAAAACAACAAAGUUAAGAAGAAAUAAGAAUGGAAGCAUAACUGAGACUAGAAGAAGGACAAACACUGCGGCUGUUUACCAAACAGAUAGAAGAGAAUUGCUACACUCCUGGCCAUCCCAGCCAGACAGUGCACCUCACAGCUGCUUACUGGGUGUGCCUUUGUGAGGUUGCACUCCAAUGGGAUUGCUGAGAUAAACCACCAACAGUAAUAAUAAUAAUUAAUAAUAGUAAUUUCUUUUUAAUCCAUAUCUAUCAGUAGAUCUAUAACUUACUGCACUAGUGACAUGGCGGAGGAGGAGUGGGUGUUAAGAGGUGAAUCAGGGAGAAGGAGGAGGGCUGUAGAGAAGCUCUGCCAGCAGGAAGCAUUUGUACGAAGUCAGCUCCGAAUGGGGUAACCACGUUCUUCCAAUGGCCAGGUCUGCAAGCUCAGGACAAAAAGAGGAAAUCCCCACCAGCAUGGUCAUUCUCGCCUCUGGUCAGACACAGGUUCCUCUUUUCUAUCUAAGUGCAAAUGCUCAUCAGGAAAAUGCAAAACUGUUCUGAAAAUCACAUAUUUUCUCUGACAUCACCUUUCUGGAGUAUGAGCUCAUAAGUGCAGAAGGUGGCACCAUGCUUCGAGAGAGCUGUUCUUUCUGUGGGCAUAUCUUGGUUUUAUGACAUCUGAAUGACCGGGUCCUUACUGUACUCUUCAGCACAUGUAAUAUCAUUACGCCUUGCAAUUUAAUAUCUUAUUAAAGAUAUCAGGGUCACGGUUCCCAGUAAGUGCUGCUUGCAUUUUUUUUCCCUUAAAUAUAUUAAGAUUAAAUUCAAUUGAAAUUAAAACAAUAUAAAAGUUACUAAAAAAAUCCCUAUAAAUGGAGUCUGAAUUUCUAUGGCUAUUACCUCAUUUUACACUUCAGACUUAUCUUUGGGUGACAGGAAGCCAAAAUUCUGAAAUGGUUUAAUUAGACUGAAAAUUAUAUUUAAUAAAGUUCUGCUGAAGAAAUACAAGUAAAUGCUAUUAACUUCCCUGAGAAUUGGAUGUGAAGAGUGAGAACAGGACCCUGCAGUUAUAGAGAGAAGGGCCUCACAGCAAGAAAAGGGAAAGUAGCUUCACAAAGUAGAAAUAAGGGGCAAAUAGAGACAGUUUAUGUAGAGAGUGUUAGAAAACAAGGGAUUCGCACUUUCGCAGACACCAGGUCUGGAGUAACAAGGAGGAUGAAGGCCAUAAAGAUAAGGACUGGAGAGCAGCUUGAAAACAUUUGGCGGGGGGGUGAUUAGAUGUCUACAGGCAAGCUGCAACCGGUUUGGGGGAUGCCCCCCCCUUCAGGAUCAGAAGAUUGCAGUGAGGAAGACUACAAGCCUUCGUGAGGAAGACUACGAGCCUUCAUCAUCAUGACCUGCUACGCACGC
Gallus gallus (chicken) is the source of this 5026-nucleotide long non-coding RNA. Lineage: Eukaryota; Metazoa; Chordata; Aves; Galliformes; Phasianidae. The record is from Ensembl.